This is a non-coding RNA of Picea glauca (white spruce), 118 nucleotides long. Lineage: Eukaryota; Viridiplantae; Streptophyta; Pinopsida; Pinales; Pinaceae. The record is from Rfam.
GUGUACAUGCCUACAAUGUUAAUGCACUGGAUCCCAUCAGAACUCUAUAGUUAAGAACACUUUGGCUACAAUCGUACUGGGAUGGGUGACCUCCCGAGAAGUCCUAGUUUUUUACAUU